CCGCUUGAAGAUGAAGAACUGGUGGAGUACAUCAUCACCGUCCUAGGAGAGGAGUUUUAACCACUUGUAGCCGCAUUGUGCACAAGGGUAGAACCCAUCUCGGUUGGGGAAUUGUAUUCUCAACUCCUCAGCUUUGAGA
Small nucleolar RNA from Panicum virgatum (switchgrass), 139 nucleotides. RefSeq annotates it as small nucleolar RNA Z247. The record is from RefSeq and is a predicted model, not a curated record. The transcript has a single exon. Lineage: Eukaryota; Viridiplantae; Streptophyta; Magnoliopsida; Poales; Poaceae.